ACACACAGCACAACUAGUUGACAGAUAUGUCUGCUUCUUCUUCUUGUGUCCGGCCAAUACAGCAUGAAGUUUUCCUUAGUUUUAGAGGUGCAGAUACUCGUAACAACUUUACCAGCCAUCUCUACGCUGCAUUGCUUCGACAAGGAAUUGCGACCUUUAUGGAUAAUAGGCUUCAGAGAGGAGAAGAGAUUGAGGAAGAAAUCUUGAAAGCAAUUGAAGCCUCAAUUUUUUCCGUGCUUAUCCUGUCAAAAAAUUAUGCAUCUUCACCGUGGUGCUUGGAUGAACUGGUGAAGAUACUUCAAUGCAAGGAUACGCAGGGACAAAAGGUAUUUCCUGUUUUCUACCACGUAGAUCCUGCAGAUGUGGACAACCAGACAGGAAGUUUUGGAGAGGCAUUAGCUAAGAUCAAGGAAGAUAUGAAGGAGAAUGAUUUAGAAAGGGUGCGAAAUUGGAGAAUUGGGUUGAGCAGAGUAGCUAAUAUCUCAGGGGAGGUUUUGACAAAGACAAGGUAACCUUCAAUACUCUUCCUUUAUACUUGUCAAGUCUUGUACAAUUAUUUGUUUUUAUCUGACUUUACUUUGAUGAUUAACUAAUCAAUAAAUUGCUUUUAAGCUAACUCCUUGAUUAUGAAUUGGGAUUGAUAAAAUAAGGAUUAUUAUUUAUUAAAAAUAAAGCAAUAAUAAAAUUUCUAAUCUGUGAUAAUAUUUA
RNAcentral lists this unclassified non-coding RNA (708 nucleotides) under Hevea brasiliensis (rubber tree). The record is from RNAcentral. Lineage: Eukaryota; Viridiplantae; Streptophyta; Magnoliopsida; Malpighiales; Euphorbiaceae.